CCGCGCACCGCGGAGGAGGCGGCCCUGGCGCGGGGAAGCAGUGGGAAAAUCGCAAGGAAGCCGGCGCUGCUCUGAAGGGAGAGUCUGUGCAGUGGCACCUGCGCGAAGCUGGCCAAAGCCUGCCCAGACGGCUCACCUGUGCGGGAUGGAACAAAAGAAUUUCGCUCUUGUUGCCCACUGUUGUCCAGGCUGGAGUGCAAUGGCACGAUCUCAGCUCACCACAACCUCCGCCUCCUGGGUUCAAGUGAUUCUCCUACCUCAGCCUCCUGAGUAGCUGGGAUUACAGGUCGGCUUGAGGUUUGCGAGUCCCAGCUCCCACUGCCCCUGCCACCUGCCUUUCCCUUCUCAGGACAUACACAGGACUGGGAGAAAAUAGACUAAGUAUUUGAUAUUACAGUAUUGUUAGGUUUUUAUAUGUGCGGUAUCUUAGGAGGGAACAGAAAGCAGCAGACACACCACUGACGAUGGCUUCCAGUGUGGCAGGGGCCAAAGCCCUUGCUCUGUGGCUCCAGGGGCAGCCUGUGCAGGCCCAGCCUGGGGCCACUCAUGCUCCCCAGCCCCACACGAGGCCCAUCCCGUCUCAGCAUAGGCUUCCUUCUUUCCACUGUUCCUGGAGACCCAGCAGGCUGUCAUGGGCCUUUGGUCCCUACACAGUCCACUCCAGUGGCCACCAGGCUUCUGCAGCCAUCAUUUCCCAUGUGCACGUGGGAAAGAACUAGGCCAGGCUUCUAAGUUAUCUAGACCUUCCUUUUUUUUUUUUUUUUUUUUUUUUUUUGAGACACAGUCUCACUGUGUCGCCCAGGCUGGAGUGCAAGUGGUACGAUCUCAGCUCACUGCAACCUCUGCCUCCUGGGUUCAAGUGAUUCUCUGCCUCAGCCUUCCAAGUAGCUGGGAUUACAGGUGCACACCAACACACCCAGCUAAUUUUUGUAUUUUUAAUAGCGAUGGGGUUUCACCAUGUUGGCCAGGAUGGUCUCGAACUCCUGAUCUCAAGUGAUCCGCCCACCUCAGCCUCCCAAAAUGUUUGGAUUACAGGCAUGAGCCACCACCCCUGGCCUGGACCCUCUUUUUGACAUGUGUGAGCAUAGGCAGCAAGCAAGGCCAUGCAGAGAAGGGGUGCUUCCAGACUGCCCAGGCCAGGGGCAUCAUUAAGGGUGGGACUGUCUCGAGAGUGUCAUAGGAGAGUUGAGACCAACACACAAGUGUUGGAGAUGAUGGUUGAGGCAGGAGCAAGGUUUUUUGGGGUUUUUAAGAUGGGGUCUUGCUUGUAGCUCAUAGCAAUCAUAGCUUACCGCAGCCUCAAACUGCUGGGAUCAAGUGGUCCUCCCGACUCAGCCUUCAGAGUGACUAGGACUACAGCAUGCUCUGCCUCCUGGCCACGGAAGCAAGGUUUUCUUUACAUGUUGUCUUGGGAGAGUUCCUGCCUUUCACAGCAUACUCUGAGUAGAUAGCAGGCUGAACUGCAUCUUUCAUUCUCUUGCUUCAAAGCUGCUAAGGUGAUUUAGAAAAGCUAGCCACCUCCAUAAUCCUUGCAACAGCAGCUGCUUCCACAUCUUUCAAGUGACAAAGCUACUGCAUAAGCCAAGCUUUCUCUUCAACUUCUAUCUCCUUAUCUACCACAGGUAAGAGUCUCAUGCUUCAGGACACAAGGUUAUCACCAACUGUGUGUGUGUGUGUGUGUGUGUCUUUGUUGCCUUCCGAAUGGUAAGUGAUCUACUUUUAGAUUCCUAUCGCUAGGUCUGUCUUCUAGUGCUACCUCUAUUACUCAUUGCCUUAGCUUGAAUCCUCACAAAAACAGAGCUUGAUCCUGGAACUUCGGCAUAGUUAACUUGGGACAUUCCAGGAAACUGUAAUCCAUGUAAUUCCAUGCCUAUAAUCCCAGCACUCUGGGGGCCAAGGUGGGUGAAUCAGUUGAGGCCAGGAGUUUGAGACCAGCCUGGUCAACAUGGGGAGAGAGAUUGGGAAGAGUGACCCAGGGUACAGAACCAUGAGCCACAGCUGCAGCUUCAGUCAGAGCAGGGCUGACCAGAUAUAACCAGAAGUCCCAACAGCAUCCUGGACACCUCUCCUGCCUCCUAAGGGUGCAGAAAUCUGUGACAAUGGCUAAGCAGUAUCUGCUCCUCUGGAUUCAGGUGCCUAUCUCUUGUGGAGCUUUGUUCAUUCUAGAAGUACUUGGAGAGGUCCAAGCAUCGUGCCUCACGCCUGUAAUCCCAGCACUUUGGUGGCCAAGGUGGGCGGAUCAGUUGAGGUCAGGAGUUUGAGACCAGCCCGGUCAACAUGGCAAAACCCCACCUCUGCUAAAAACACAAAAAUUAGCCAAUCGUGGUCGUGCAGACCUGUAAUCCUAGCUACUUGGGAGGCUGAGGUAGGAGAAUCACUUGAACUCGGGAGGCAGAGGUUGCAGUAAGCCGAGAUUGCGCCACUGCACUCCAGCUUGGGCAACAGAGUGAGACUACGUCUCAAAGAAAAAAUAGGCUGGGCGCGGUGGCUCACGCCGGUAAUCCCAGCACUUUGGGAGGCUGAGACGGGUGGAUUAUGAGGUCAGGAGUUCGAGACCAGCCUGACCAAUAUGGUGAAACCCCGUCUCUACUAAAAAUACAAAAAUUAGUCCAGCAUGGUAGUGUGUGCCUGCAGUCCCAGAUACUUGGGAGGCUGAGGCAGGAGAAUAGCUUGAACCUGGGAGGCGAAGGUUGGAGUGAGCUGAAAUUGUGCCACUGCACUCCAGCCUGGGCGACAAAGUGAGACUCCAUCUCAAAAUAAAUAAAAAAAUAAAAAUAAAAAUAGCAAUACAACUAUUUGGAGAGGGCCAAAUAAGUGGGGAGCACUUCUCCACACUGAGAUACAGGCGGGAACAGAACAACAAACCCCAUAGAGCUUAUGUUUUAGUUGGAGGAGACUAAGAAUAAAUACAAUAUGUAGUAGGUCAAGUGUUAAUGGGUGCUAGAAACAAGAAGUGGGGGCCAGGCACGGUGGCUCACACCUGUAAUCCCAGUACUCUGGGAGGUCGAGGUGGGUGGAUCACCUGAGAUAAGGGGUUCAAAACCAGCCUGGCCAACAUGGUGAAACCCCAUCUCUACCAAAAAUACAAAAAUCAGCUGGGCAUGGUGGCGGACACCUGUAAUCCCAGCUAGUCAGGAGGCUGAGGCAGGAGAAUUGCUG
RNAcentral lists this long non-coding RNA (3159 nucleotides) under Homo sapiens (human). Its description in RNAcentral is "HSALNT0098850". The record is from RNAcentral. Lineage: Eukaryota; Metazoa; Chordata; Mammalia; Primates; Hominidae.